AAGGAUGAAGGCCUAUGGGUUGUAACUUCUUUGUACGGAAAAACCCUCUACGUGUAGAGGGCUGAUUGUACCGUAAGAAUAAGGAUCGGCUAACUCCGUGC
Molecule: ribosomal RNA, 101 nt
Filed under: uncultured bacterium
Lineage: Bacteria
Description: partial 16S ribosomal RNA
Source: RNAcentral